CCUCCUAGGUGCGCGGGGGCGCUGUGAGUCACUGCGGGUCAUGGAGGCGCUCUGUCUCAGCCUCGUUGGUUCGGACCGAGGCUUUCGGGACGGCGGCGGGAAGAUGGCGGCCUCCAGGGACCAGCUUGGAGCCGUGGAGGAAAAGGGAGGCUCGGGUCGCCAGGGGAGCUCAGGAGUCGAGGUGGUUUUUCCCUCCGAUCCCGCCACCUCCGCCCCGCUGUGCCCUCACGGACCCACUCUUCUGUUUGUAAAGGUGAACCAAGGGAAAGAAGAAACACGGAGGUUUUAUGCCUGCUCAGCGUGUAGAGAUAGAAAAGAUUGUAAUUUUUUUCAGUGGGAAGAUGAAAAGUUGUCAGGAGCUAGACUUGCUGCCCGAGAAGCUCAUAAUCAAAGAUGUCAGCCUCCUUUAUCCCGAUCGCAAUGUGUGGAAAGGUACUUGAAGUUUAUUGAGUUGCCCUUGUCUCAGAGGAAGUUUUGUCAAAGAUGUCAGCAGUUGGUACUGCCAGACGACGGGGAGAAGCACCGUGAGCAUCAGAUAGUGGGUGACGUCUCCAUCACCCAGUUAAAAAGGCCCAGUCAGCUCCUCUGUCCCUUGGAAAACAAGAAGACAAAUGCCCAGUAUUUGUUUGCUGAUAGGAGCUGUCUGUUCUUAGUGGACCUGCUCUCUACCCUUGGGUUCAGAAGAGUACUGUGUGUUGGAACACCAAGGUUGCAUGAGCUGAUCAGGUUGAAAGCAUCAGGUGACGAGAAGUCUAACAUUAAAAGCCUUUUAUUGGAUAUUGAUUUUCGGUAUUCACAGUUUUAUAUGGAAGAUAGUUUUUGCCAUUAUAACAUGUUUAACCAUCACUUCUUUGAUGGAAAGGCUGCCCUUGAAGUAUGCAGAACAUUUUUACAGGAAGAUAAAGGUGAAGGAGUCAUUAUGGUGACAGAUCCUCCUUUUGGUGGCUUGGUUGAACCUCUGGCUGUUACAUUCAAGAAGUUAAUUGCUAUGUGGAAAGAAGGUCAAAGCCAAGAAAACAAUCGCAAAGAACUACCUAUAUUCUGGAUUUUCCCCUAUUUUUUUGAAUCCCGAAUUUGUCAGUUUUUCCCAAGCUUCUGCAUGCUGGAUUACCAGCACUUCCAUAGGAGGUUUAUUUGUGUGGAUGAAGCUAUGAAAUAUGGAUGCAUGUUAGAGGUACAUUAAUUUACCCUAGCAGCAUGCAUUUUACAUACCAUAUGUUUAUAGUUAAUUAGCACAACAAACCCACAUUUAAAAAUAAUAAUAAUCUCAAUUAGGUUAUGCAAAAUCAAGUAAUCAACCACCUUCCUGACACAUGCAUUCUCUGACUCCUUGGGUAACCAUAAAGAAACUGUUCUUUUUUUUCCCCCUCUCUUCCAUCUGCUAUCUAUUAUAUUGCAUGGAAUAUUCCAUUUACUAAAAAUCUUUCUAAGAUACUCUUUUCCAGCAUUUGAAAAUCUUUAUAAGAUUCUCUCGGGAAGAAUUUUUUUCUUAUGACACUCAUAAAUGUUCAAAAUAUCUUUGUUAAAUUUAAUAAGGUGCUAUAUAUUUACUGAGUACAUAGAGGGGGUGCAUUAGGGAAAAUUAUGAAUUUGUCAUUUUAAAAGAAAACUACUUAAGGCACUAUUUUAAAGGUGAUUUUGUAGUAAAAUCUACUUUUGUAUCUUAGCCUGUAAUAGGUAACAUAUAUUCAUAGAAUUUUAAAUUUGGAAAGAAGCAUAGAGGUAACGUAGGCUAACUUCCCAGUGUAAUAAUCCUCUCCACUAAAUUCAUGACAAGCAGUCACCCAGCCUCACUUGAAUGCUUUCAGUGAGCAAAGUCCUACAGCCUUACAAGGCAACUCAAUUUAUUUAAUAGCUCUAAUCGUUAGAAAAUUUUCUCAUAUGGAGAUAAAAUAUGCUCCCUAUUAACUUCUAACCAUUGGACCUACUUCUAUUUUCCGAAGCAAUAAAAGAGUAAGUCUAAUUUCUAUUCCACGUGACACGCUUUCUGUUAUCAAAUAGCCAUCAGAUCCUCCCUGUCUUCUCUUUUCUGAAUAAACACUCCCAAUCUGUUAAACUAUCAAUCCUUUUUAUUCCCAUUACUUUCAAUAGAAAUGAACUGGUUUUAUUAAUGAUUCUCUUAAAAUGUAGCAACUGAAUGCAAGGCUUCGGAUGUGCUCUAACCUCCUCUCCUCUCCGCGUUCUGAUGCUACACUUCUGUGUAAGCACUGAGCUGUUACAUCGCUAUGCUAGACUGCGGACUCACCAUGCCGACCUGUGCGUGUUCAUUGUGCAGAACAUCCUCGGAGUUUUUUCCCCACUGCUGAAGCUUAUUAAUGAGUCUUCCUAAAUUUGUUCACCUGUAAAUCUAGCAGGCAUUGGCAUGGCCAUUGGGAGAGCUUCGGAAUCUCCCAUUCAAGUCCUCUCUUUCCAUUGCCACCAAAUCCUUACAUUUUUGUAGUUCUCUCAUGAAAUAGCUAGCUUGCAAGCCAGUUCUGUUGUAAAUUCUUAAGAGUAAUCUGAUUUAGAAUCCAAACAAUUCAUAACAACUUACUGGAAAGUUGGGAUCUAUCUGUAUUAACCUUAUAAAAAUCUCAUGAUAGUCCUGUGUGUAAUUAAAUCAGUGGUGCUCAAACUUUAGUGUGCCAGGAGGGCUUGUUAAAAAUACAGGUUGCUGGGCCCCGCCCCCAGAGUUUCUGUGUUCUUAGGCCCUAGGUGGGGCAAGAAUUUGCAUUUCCAACAAGAUCCCAGGUAAUGCUGGUGUUGCUGAUUCAGGCACCACACUGUGAGAAUUAGUGAUCUGAAGGAAGACGGACUUAGUGGCCAGAUGGGUUCAUAGCAGGUUGAAAACCAGAUUGAGACUGUGUGUAGAUGAUAGGGUGGGAAAGGAGACGGGAGCAAGAAGCUAGUAGAAAUCAUGCUUGUUGGCUUCAUUUUACUUUCCAGAUAAUCUGCUGAAAUGGAAAGUUGAGUUAGGGGUCUUGAGGAGAGAGGUAAACAUUUGAAAUAGUCAUGGUGGGGAGAACAGCUAUAGGUUACGAGUCUCCCUCUGCAUCUCCAUCCUUCCAUCUCUACGAUGUGCUGGGCCCUGAACUCUGGGCUUUACAUACGUUGUCUCAUGUAACUUUCACAGCAGCUCUAAGGUAAGUAUCAGUAACCUCUUUUUUCCAGGUGAAAAUGAUGCAAACUUGCCUGAGGUCACAUAACAAGUGAGUGACAGAGAGCCCCUGCCUGGCCCCCAAAUCUGGCUCUGUUGGAGAGUAAUGUUGGAGGGCCAAACUGAGGCUGCACUGAGCCUUGGGGAGCAGAAAACUGACAUGCAGUGAAUUUCACACACACAAAAAUGAGAAGCCCUAACCAAGUUGUCACAGAUCUUCAAAGGUGGAGUUUUUUUAAACACCGAUAGCUAAAAUCUUAAUUACAUAAUAGCCUUUAUUGCAGAGUCUAUUGCGUUGGAUAAAAGAUUAGAGUUGUUCUCUUACCUAGGGGUAGCAUGAAUUUGUCAUAACAAAUUUUACCUUUUUUAUAAUGAAAUUUGGCUGCCCACAGAGGCCUCUCCAAGGCUGACUAUAAACUCUUGCUUUUAAGAAUUUCUUAUUCAAUACUUUGAUUUGAUUUGUUUCUUGGCAUCACUUUGUUCAUUUAUUGGCUAAAGAGUCUGAACAAAUGUUGACUCUUUUGAGAAAUGUUUCUUUUUAAAUUUUUUUUAACUUUCUAGGUAGAUUAUGAUAAUCAUGCACUUUAUAAACAUGGAAAGACAGGACGGAAACAGUCUCCUGUGCGUAUUUUCACCAAUAUUCCACCCAACAAAAUAAUCCUUCCUAUUGAGGAAGGGUACAGAUUUUGCUCUCUCUGUCAGCGAUACGUU
Molecule: RNA transcript, 3847 nt
Organism: Camelus dromedarius (Arabian camel)
Lineage: Eukaryota; Metazoa; Chordata; Mammalia; Artiodactyla; Camelidae
Gene: ZCCHC4
Gene name: zinc finger CCHC-type containing 4
Exons: 10
Source: RefSeq, a predicted model, not a curated record